This 247-nucleotide ribosomal RNA is filed under the name uncultured Comamonadaceae bacterium. Its description in RNAcentral is "partial 16S ribosomal RNA". It matches the Rfam family "Bacterial small subunit ribosomal RNA", at positions 796 to 1041 of the family's 1533-position model. The record is from RNAcentral. Lineage: Bacteria; Pseudomonadati; Pseudomonadota; Betaproteobacteria; Burkholderiales; Comamonadaceae.
CACGCCCUAAACUAUGUCAACUGGUUGUUGGGAAUUCAUUUUCUCAGUAACGAAGCUAACGCGUGAAGUUGACCGCCUGGGGAGUACGGCCGCAAGGCUAAAACUCAAAGGAAUUGACGGGGACCCGCACAAGCGGUGGAUGAUGUGGUUUAAUUCGAUGCAACGCGAAAAACCUUACCCACCUUUGACAUGUACGGAACUUGCCAGAGAUGGCUUGGUGCCCGAAAGGGAGCCGUAACACAGGUGC